RNAcentral lists this ribosomal RNA (527 nucleotides) under uncultured Actinomycetes bacterium. RNAcentral describes it as "bacterial SSU rRNA". It matches the Rfam family "Bacterial small subunit ribosomal RNA", at positions 8 to 522 of the family's 1533-position model. The record is from RNAcentral. Lineage: Bacteria; Bacillati; Actinomycetota; Actinomycetes.
AGAGUUUGAUCCUGGCUCAGGACGAACGCUGGCGGCGCGCUUAACACAUGCAAGUCGAGCGAGAACCAUUCCUUCGGGAAUGGGGACAGCGGCGAACGGGUGAGUAACACGUGGGUAAUCUGCCCUCGAUUCUGGGAUAGCCCGGGGAAACCCGGAUUAAUACCGGAUAGCCUCUCGAGCUUUCGAGCUCGUGAGAAAAGGUAGCUUCGGCCUCCGAUCGAGGAUGAGCCCGCGGCGGAUUAGCUUGUUGGUGGGGUAAUGGCCUACCAAGGCGACGAUCCGUAGCUGGUCUGAGAGGACGAUCAGCCACACUGGGACUGAGACACGGCCCAGACUCCUACGGGAGGCAGCAGUGGGGAAUCUUGCGCAAUGGGCGAAAGCCUGACGCAGCGACGCCGCGUGGGGGAAGAAGGCCUUCGGGUUGUAAACCUCUUUCAGCAGGGACGAAGCCACUCGGGUUAAUAGCCCAGAGGGUGACGGUACCUGCAGAAGAAGCCCCGGCUAACUACGUGCCAGCAGCCGCGGUA